Brassica rapa (field mustard) is the source of this 4292-nucleotide long non-coding RNA. RefSeq lists it as uncharacterized. The record is from RefSeq and is a predicted model, not a curated record. NCBI's taxonomy places the organism in Eukaryota, Viridiplantae, Streptophyta, Magnoliopsida, Brassicales, Brassicaceae.
CUGAAAGCAGAUAACAUAAAAGAAGGAUUUUGCAUUUUUAUCAUGUUAUAAUUUUUAUAAGCAUUUUGAAUAGUACAAAUAAAUAAAGGAGAAUAGUUAUGCCGACCAAAAAAAAAAAAGAAUAUUUGAAGGUUUUAUUUUAAAUCACUCCGUCAUGGGGAUUUAAUUUGUAACCCGCACGACCGUACGGGGUUUUUUUAAUACAAAAAUAGUUUAGUUUAUCAAUACUAUUAAAAGAGAAAGAGUUUAAAUAAAUCUACUUUAAAAGGUUGUUUGGAUCCUUUACUUUUAUUAUGUUUUUGUCUAACUCUAUAUAUUAUAACAGCAUGUAUCUACCUUUGUAACCCCAAAAAAUCGUAAAGAAUAUAUUUAGAAUAUGCUAUAUUGACAUAUUUUGUCGUAAUCUUAUAUAUAUAAAGUUGAAUUGUGCUCUGAGCACAGCCUCCCACGUCAUCAGGUAGAUUGAGGCAUUUUUGGACACUUGGCGUCUCGGUAGGGUGUCCGUGUUUCUCACGCUCUUUCUUCCUUCUCGCUCUCACGCUCUCUCUUCCUCCUUGCGCGUGGCUUUUAGUUUAAUUAUGUAUUUUUGAUUUUCCUUUUAAUCCAACAAGCUACUUAUUAGUUUAUUUAAUUUCCCUUCUCUUUCCACGAUUUGGGCAUGGAAGCGAUGGAAACAGCAAUUCCCCCCCCCCUCCCACCUCUCCGAACAAAGCUUUGAGUUUCACGGGGGUUCAUGGCACCAGAUCUUUUGGUUCUCUCAAAGGUAAAGGUUCUUCAUGGACUUCGUUUAAAUCGAGUUAGAAUGGGUACAAAAUGGAUUGGGAAGGGACAUGACUAGAUUUGAGGUGAGAUGCGAUUCAGAGUAUUGGUUAUAAUUACGACUAUCGAAUGGUAAAGGAGAUCGAGUUAGCUGAUGCAAUUGACGAUGAUAUAAUAACAUAAUCCAUUUAAAGACUGUUCAGUCUCUACGGUUCUAUAUCUUUGUACUUUCUUCCUUUUGACGUGUAUUUCUGUCUGUGGAUAUGUGAUAUGUGAUAUGUGAUAUUGAUGUUUUGUUAUUUAGUAGUAGGUUAUGAGCUUAAGAUGCUGAUUUUGCUUAGGGCAAGAAUGUCUUCAGGGAUGAUUGCCGAGAGAAAUCAAGUUUUGCAGAAAAAUAAGUGUGGUAAGAGAUGCCAUAACGUCAUAUCUUUCGACUUUAUGCCGUUAACAGAAAACACCUGAAAUCAACUUGGUGUACUUAUAUCACACCUCGUGGAAGAGAAACAUGUUGCUGUGUUUUACUGGCCGGCCAAAGACGAGUGAAUCUGUACCGAUCAUUGGCAGUGGGAACAUUUAUUUUACUUGAAUCAUGAUCUAAUAAGUACGCGAAGGGAUCCCUAUCCCUCGGCUUAAUCUUCACAACCUUUGAAAGAAAAAAUAUCAGAUUUUUCUCACUUUUGUCAGUUUCCUCUCCAAAUGGGAUGUUAAAAUAAAAAGAAAGUAAAAUAUUUAAUAAGAAUAUACUUAUUUAGUUGAAUUAAAAAAUUUAUAAAAAAAUUUAGAGCCAAUAGCAUUAUAUCUUCUUACGGUAUCUAAACAAUAGUUAAAAAUGUGCUCUCUCUCAAUAUUUUUCUUAAUUCUUUAAAUCGUUGAGAUGUCUAACGAUGGAAAAGCUCUUAGAAUACCCUAGUCGGAGCAGAAUUUUAAAUAGAGUUCUUAGACAAUUUAUGAUAUUAUUUUAAUGCAAAAAUUUUGGAUGAAAAUGAUUUUUUUUGUCAGAAAUUCAAAUAAUGUAAAUAAUCUUUCCUAACGAUAAUUGAAUUCUAAUGGAGGAAAAACUGUAAAUUUUAAUGUAAUUUGUUAUGUAAUUAGUUUUUAUAUAUAAUAAGUUAACAGAAGAAUAACACAUGUAGCUUUUUUUAUAAACUAUAGCACUAAGCUUAACCAUUUCAAUAGAAAACUGAACUUCUAUAUUCUACGGUCAAAUAAAAUAUUGAUCCAAUAAAACCAAAACUUACAUAUCUUAAUAUGUUUUAAUCAAUCAAAAUUAAUUUACAAGAAUAUUUCUGAAAAAUUCAAAUAUAUAUCAAAGAACACUUUAAAUCUAUGUAGUGAAGUGUAUAUUAGAAUACCUUACCAUCAACAACUAUAUAUAUAUAUAUAUAGGCCUGGGCAUUCGGGGUCCCAAUUGUGUUUCGGUUUUUCGGGUUUAUCAAAAUAAGCCUCAUUCGGGUUAUAUGAAAAUUCGGUUCGGGAUCGGUUCGGAUUCUAUCGGGUUCGGGUCGGGUUUAGUAAAUCUCCAAAGAACCGGUACAACCCGCUGUACUUUCGGGUUCGGGUCCCAAUCGGUACUUUGUAACCAAAAAGUAAGUAAAAUUGGUUACUUGGUUUUAAAAUACUUGAUUUGUACCUAUUUUGUAACCAAAACAUAAAUAAAGUCGGUUCAAAAAAAAGAAAGAAACUUCAAAUGUGAUCAUUCAAAAUCAAGUGAAAGGUAAAGAUAGUUAUUGAUCGAAAGAAAACCAAAUAAAUGAAAGAUAUAAAACGAAAACCAAGUUCUCAUGAAAUGAAAAACAUAAUUCAAUGAAAACAAAAUCCAAAUCUAAAAACUUCAACCUUCAACCACCACCUUCAACCAUCAAUCUUCAUAUAAUAGAUAAUUAUUUUAAAUGUUCAAUAUAUUUUGAAUACAUAUUAGGAAUUGAGAUCAUAUUUGGUACAAGUUAUUUUUGGAAAUUUUGAAUGUUUCGGGUUCUAUCAGGUAUCCAUUUAGGUUCGGGUUCGGUUUGGAUAAUACCCAUAACCCGAAAUACCAUAAAACAAGAUCCAUUCGGUAUUAAUGUCGGGUUCGGAUCGGUUCGGAUUCAUUUUUAUCGGAUCGGGUUCGGUUCGGUUUUUUCGGGUUCGGUUUAUUUACCCAGCCCAAUAUAUAUAUAUAUAUAUAUAUAUAUAUAUAUAUAUAUAUAUAUAUAUAUAUAUAAAAUCAAUGUCAUAUUUCAAUACAUUUUAUUAUUAAGUUAUGGAAAAAUAUCAAAGAAAGUCUAUAGAUAAUGAUUUUGAGAUAAUAUAAAAUAUGAACGAUUAAUUUUAAAAUGGUUUAAGUUUGCACCAGUUAAACUUAAUUUUUAUAAUAUUAAAAUCAUUACCUCAAUGACAUGCUAUUUUUUGUAUAAAUUAGUUCCGGUUUGUUUGUUUUUAGGGUUCACUGAAUUUUGAUUUGGACUUCAAUCCUAAUAAACGCUUAGUUAUAAAUUAAAACUAUUACAAAAAAAUAUUUAGUAAAAUAUGCUUAUAGUUUUUGAAGUUAAGACUAAUAAAACUCACGAGUUAAAAAAUGCUAGAUUAACUAAAGAUAAUGUGAUUGUCAAUAUUAAGUAACAAGAUUUGAAUAAGAACUCAUAAUCACAGAUAAAAAUACAUACACAUAUACCACCAUGAAAAUUAAAACUUUAACAUACAACUAAAUAAUAUCGAAGAGGAAAAAGAAUAUCUGGAUUAUCCUUGGAAAAUAAUCAAUUCAGUUAUUGCAUUUGGACCACGAUUAAGAAUUCACUUAUUGGAUUUAAUAUCAUUUUGAAGACAAGGUAUUUAACAAAUACGUUCAUAGUAAAACCCCUGACAAAUUGUCACAUUCAUAACAUAGAUAAAGUAUGUGAGAUUAUUAUUAUUUUAAGAGGAUGAACAAACAACUACAUUUAUAUGUUUCAUUUUGAAACAUCGUUAAAUUAUAUUUACUUUAGUGCAACUAUCAAUUAUUUAUUAUAUUUUAUUUCAUUAAUUUAUAAAAUCUAUUUAUGCUAUUCAUCUUUGACCUAAGCAACUAUAAAACAAAGUAAUACACUAUUAAUUAUCACUAUCAAAUGGAUCAAAAACUCAUUAUCCAAUCAUUAAGAAACAAAAUAUACAAACCCGGCGCGUAGCGCCGGAAUACCACUAGUAUAUAAUAAAUUUGAAGUAAAUGGCUGUAUUAUCUCACCAUCGCACCUCUUAUAUAACCACACGUCACAAAAAUAUUCAAGAACAUCACAUUACAUCACAAAAGCCGAGGCUCAGAGACAGGGAAACAAAAAAUGCGAAAGUGGUUCAUAUCCUGGUUUUUAAAGUCAUUGCAAUCCUCAUCGCCUACUCAUGAUAAUGUUUUAUAUUUUUACAUGGUUGGACUAUGGGACUAUGUGUUUAUGUACAUGGCUUAUAUGUUUACUUUCAUUAUAUAUUCAGAUUUCGUAUUAUGGGUUUCUUAUAUGUUUCAGUUCUCCACAAAACAAAAAGAUUUGACCACGACCACAAAAAACAACCAGUUUAUGGUUUGGAUG